UACGAAGGUGGCAAGCGUUGUUCAGAAUCACUGGGCUUAAAGCGUGCGUAGGCUGACAUUCAGGUGUCCUUUGAAAUCCUCCUGCUCAACAGGGGAAUUGGGGGCAAACCGGAUGUCUUGAGGCCGGUAGGGUGGCCUGGAACUCUUGGUGGAGCGGUGGAAUGCGUAGAUAUCAAGAGGAACGCCAGAGGAGAAAUCGGGGCACUGGGCCGGACCUGACGCUGAGGUACGAAAGCAUGGGUAGCGAACGGG
RNAcentral lists this ribosomal RNA (252 nucleotides) under uncultured bacterium. RNAcentral describes it as "partial 16S ribosomal RNA". It matches the Rfam family "Bacterial small subunit ribosomal RNA", at positions 524 to 776 of the family's 1533-position model. The record is from RNAcentral.